GAGCCCAGAGCCUGAAUCAGCAUGUGUGUUAGUGGAAGCGUCUGGAAAGGCGCGCGAUACAGGGUGAGAGCCCCGUACACAAAAGCGCACAUGCUGUGAGCUCGAUGAGUAGGGCGGGACACGUGGUAUCCUGUCUGAAUAUGGGGGGACCAUCCUCCAAGGCUAAAUACUCCUGACUGACCGAUAGUGAACCAGUACCGUGAGGGAAAGGCGAAAAGAACCCCGGCGAGGGGAGUGAAACAGAACCUGAAACCGUGUACGUACAAGCAGUGGGAGCCUCUCUUUAUGGGGGGUGACUGCGUACCUUUUGUAUAAUGGGUCAGCGACUUAUAUUCUGUAGCAAGGUUAACCGCAUAGGGGAGCCGAAGGGAAACCGAGUCUUAAUUGGGCGUUAAGUUGCAGGGUAUAGACCCGAAACCCGGUGAUCUAGCCAUGGGCAGGUUGAAGGUUGGGUAACACUAACUGGAGGACCGAACCGACUAAUGUUGAAAAAUUAGCGGAUGACCUGUGGCUGGGGGUGAAAGGCCAAUCAAACCGGGAGAUAGCUGGUUCUCCCCGAAAGCUAUUUAGGUAGCGCCUCGUGAACUCAUCUCCGGGGGUAGAGCACUGUUUCGGCUAGGGGGCCAUCCCGGCUUACCAACCCGAUGCAAACUGCGAAUACCGGAGAAUGUUAUCACGGGAGACACACGGCGGGUGCUAACGUCCGUCGUGAAGAGGGAAACAACCCAGACCGCCAGCUAAGGUCCCAAAGUCAUGGUUAAGUGGGAAACGAUGUGGGAAGGCCCAGACAGCCAGGAUGUUGGCUUAGAAGCAGCCAUCAUUUAAAGAAAGCGUAAUAGCUCACUGGUCGAGUCGGCCUGCGCGGAAGAUGUAACGGGGCUAAACCAUGCACCGAAGCUGCGGCAGCGACACUUUAGUGUUGUUGGGUAGGGGAGCGUUCUGUAAGCCGUUGAAGGUGUCCUGUGAGGGGUGCUGGAGGUAUCAGAAGUGCGAAUGCUGACAUAAGUAACGAUAAAGCGGGUGAAAAGCCCGCUCGCCGGAAGACCAAGGGUUCCUGUCCAACGUUAAUCGGGGCAGGGUGAGUCGACCCCUAAGGCGAGGCCGAAAGGCGUAGUCGAUGGGAAACGGGUUAAUAUUCCCGUACUUGGUGUUACUGCGAAGGGGGGACGGAGAAGG
This 1176-nucleotide ribosomal RNA is filed under the name Salmonella enterica. RNAcentral describes it as "partial 23S ribosomal RNA". It matches the Rfam family "Bacterial large subunit ribosomal RNA", at positions 295 to 1481 of the family's 2925-position model. Lineage: Bacteria; Pseudomonadati; Pseudomonadota; Gammaproteobacteria; Enterobacterales; Enterobacteriaceae. The record is from RNAcentral.